CCUACGGGAGGCAGCAGUAGGGAAUCUUCCGCAAUGGACGAAAGUCUGACGGAGCAACGCCGCGUGAGUGAUGAAGGUUUUCGGAUCGUAAAACUCUGUUGUUAGGGAAGAAUAAGUACCGUUCGAAUAGGGCGGCACCUUGACGGUACCUAACCAGAAAGCCACGGCUAACUACGUGCCAGCAGCCGCGGUAAU
RNAcentral lists this ribosomal RNA (195 nucleotides) under uncultured bacterium. RNAcentral describes it as "partial 16S ribosomal RNA". It matches the Rfam family "Bacterial small subunit ribosomal RNA", at positions 338 to 524 of the family's 1533-position model. The record is from RNAcentral.